This 568-nucleotide long non-coding RNA is filed under the name Nicotiana tabacum (common tobacco). RNAcentral's name for it is "long non-coding RNA (NTAB_LNC013009)". The record is from RNAcentral. Lineage: Eukaryota; Viridiplantae; Streptophyta; Magnoliopsida; Solanales; Solanaceae.
GACAUAAGGCCUCCAUUCCGUAGUCGCCUUUUUGCCAACAUUAGGGCUCUAAUCACUGAGUUGAGCCUUUUUAGACAUAGGGCCUCCAUUCCCUAGUCGCCUUUUUGCCAACAUUAGGGCUCCAAUCACUGAGUUGAGCUUUUUGGACAUAGGGCCUCCAUUCCCUAGUCGCCUUUUUGCCAACAUUAGGGCUCCAAUACCUGAGUGAAGCCUUUUUAGACAUAGGGCCUCCAUUCCCUAGUCGCCUUUUUUGCCAACAUUAGGGCUCCAAUCCCUGAGUUGAGCCUUUUAGACAUAGGGCCUCCAUGUCGCCUUUUGCCAAUAUUAGGGCUCCAAUCUCUGAGUUGAGCCUUUUCAGACAUAGGGCCUCCAUUCCCUAGUCGCCUUUUUUACCAACAUUAGGGCUCCAAUCCCUGAGUUGAGCUUUUAGACAUAGGGCCUCCAUUCCCUAGUCGCCUUUUCGCCAGCAUUAGGGCUCCAAUCCCUGAGUUGAAUUUUAGAUAUAGGGCUCCAUCCCCUGAUUUUUUCCUUUAUGGAUAGAUGCAAUCCUUAUUUAAUUUACUUUCAA